CGGGUAACCACGGCAACCGCGUCCGCGCCGCAGGUGACCGUCGGCUGCUUUUCCUGCUGGCGCUCCUCCGCACCGCUUCCCCCCGCGGCCUGCUGGGAGAAAUCCGCAGAUGAUAAAAGAGCCUCGUGGGCGCCGGGGGGGGGGGGGUCUGAAUGCGUACCUGGACUAAUAGUAUUGUGGUGUGUACCACUAGGGAGAAGAAGUACUCCACAGGUAGAAACAACACAGAGUUUGCAUUUGUUCCCUGUAGCAAGUGCUGAAGCCCCCCAGGGACACUUAACCCGAUGAAACGAGGCUUUGCACCAAAUACGGAACGGAUCCCUCUCGCCCGAAGCCGUAAACAAAUAACAUCCAUUCAUGUUGUUCUGUUGAGGCCUGAUUGUGUCCUGAUACUGUGCUGAUGAACCACCUGAGACGAGGAACUACAACAUCAGCUUCUAGAUCUGCGAUGCUGAACAUGAGGAUGGACGGCGCUGCGGAUGCUGGAUUCGAGGCAGAUGAAGCUGAUGUGAAAUCUGAAAGGAACAUUACAGUGUGGCUGCCUGAUCAAUGGGGCUGAUGCAUGCUGGUCCAGGAUCUAUAGGGGGCGGAGCUUCAUUAACGCAGACAACUCUUCCAUCCGUCUUCUGAAAUCAGCAUCUGUCGUUUCCUGAGGAGGAGAGGAGAGGAGGAGAGAGGAGAGAGGAGAGGAGGAGGAGAGGAGAG
Long non-coding RNA from Gasterosteus aculeatus aculeatus (three-spined stickleback), 705 nucleotides. NCBI's taxonomy places the organism in Eukaryota, Metazoa, Chordata, Actinopteri, Perciformes, Gasterosteidae. The record is from Ensembl.